This 453-nucleotide ribosomal RNA is filed under the name Triticum aestivum (bread wheat). RNAcentral describes it as "partial small subunit ribosomal RNA". The record is from RNAcentral. Lineage: Eukaryota; Viridiplantae; Streptophyta; Magnoliopsida; Poales; Poaceae.
AUUCACCUGUGAGGCGAACUGGACAAGUUUCGCUGGAAUUUACAUCAGAGCGGCAUGUUCUCAGUUCAAUCUUUGUACGAUGCAAUGGUGCAUAGUGAUAUUGCGAUUGAUAAGAAGAAAUUGUGGAAGCUCAAAAUUCCUCUAGGAGUGAAGAUUUUCCUCUGGUUUCUAAAUGAAGGAGUCAUCUUAAUUAGAGAUGACCUGGCACGACGCAAUUGGCAAGGUAGUAAGACAUGUAUCUUUUGCCAACAUGACAAGUCAAUUAAACACUUAUUUUUGAAGUGUAAGUUCGCUCUUGUAGUGUGGGCCAUAGUUCAAGUAGCUUUAAAUAUAUAUCCCUACGUAGUGCACCUAACAUGUUCGGCAAUUGAUUACGGAGUAUUUAUAAACAAUUUUCUGCACAUAUUCUGGUGGGGACGGUUGCCUUAUGCUAGGCAUUGUGGUUUAUCAUGA